GCCAGGGCUGCGGGCAUAACAGAUGUGAGGCAACCUUAGGCUGAAGCAGCAAAGUCCACAUCCAGGGCAGAUGCCCCUCCUCCCCUUUCCUGUGCCUCCUGGUCCUGAGACUGAGUGAGGUUCUGGUUCUGCCAGGUCCCGCAAGCCUCGGGAAUUAAUUCUGUUCUGGGCGGUGUAGCUCUUCCCUGACUGGACUGCUCAUUUACUUGCUCUCCAGCGGUCAAGCUGCGGUAGCUGAGACUCCAAGAAUGAGGAUUUAAAGGAAACUGACAAUAACCUUGGAAGCACAUGGAAUUCAGCAAGCGUUUUCUGGGAACCUCCUCUGUGCCAAGUGCUAUAUUGUUCCCUGUGGGAAGAUGUAAAACAGUUCCUGCUCUACAGAUACUUCUAGUCUACCUCGGGAUUCAGGAAGGAUGUAUGAAAACUUGACCACCACCACAAUAACAGUUCAGGGCAACAGUUACAAGGCUUCCCAGGAUUAACUGUCAAGUGAAUCGCACAGAUAAUCAUUGUCCUAGGAACUCCUGAGACCACUCUUUGAGUUUGCUAUUGGGCAAGGAAUUUGAACAGGCAUCCAAAGAUUGGGAAGAUGCUCCAAAACAGACUGGAGAGAAGAGCGGAAGUCAGAGUGAGAUACUGGAGCAGUUUCUCUUUUGGAAGAAUUCCUUCUGGGGAAAAAGUCUCCAUGGAGGUACGGGAUUUGUCCCAGGGGGCUGAGUCACCUGCCCAUGACUUGUUCGUUAAUUCAUGGCAAAUCCAGGCUUAGAACUCCAGGGUCUGUUUGAGUAAAGGGGUCAUGUUAUUGGGGUCUAUCUUGGAUCUUUGAUGAGAAAGUGAAAGUCAAAGUUGCUCAGUCAUGUCUGACUCUUUGUGACCCCAUGGACUAUAGUCCAUGGAAUUCUCCAGGCCAGAAUACUGAUGGGAAAGAUCAGAGCAAUGAUAACAGGAUUCUCUGAGUGACUUCGGGAUCCUUGUGCCUGCAGGUUAGAAUCUAUCUAAUCCUGUCUUGGAAAGUUUCGUAUUUUCUUCUGGAAAUCUUUUUUUUUUUUUUCAUAUGAAAGUGGUUAUGGGAACACCCAGAUUGUGGCUGUAUCUGGCCACAUUCCUAGGUUUGAGUGUCUGCCUGAUACCAGUUGAACACUUAACAGGUCAUCAUAGGAGGCUGUUUUAGUGACUCCAACCUGGAACCUGGAGGAAGUCAAGAGGGAAACAGGAAGAAGUGACAAGUACAGAGAAUGGAAGGACCCAUAUGGAUAACUUAUAACUGGUGUGCCCAAGGAGUCCUAGUUGCUCUGCAGAGUCGUGGCUUUCAAAAUUUGUCUUAUGAACUGCAAAGCCCAGUUCAGUUAAACUUCUCACUCAAAAAUUUCCCAAUUUAGAACAGAUGAAGAUGGUCUUCCCAUAUCCCCUG
Molecule: long non-coding RNA, 1411 nt
Organism: Bos taurus (domestic cattle)
Lineage: Eukaryota; Metazoa; Chordata; Mammalia; Artiodactyla; Bovidae
Source: Ensembl